RNAcentral lists this ribosomal RNA (554 nucleotides) under bacterium 4746K8-B7. RNAcentral's name for it is "bacterial SSU rRNA". It matches the Rfam family "Bacterial small subunit ribosomal RNA", at positions 83 to 635 of the family's 1533-position model. The record is from RNAcentral.
ACCAGGCGUCGAGCGGCGGACGGGUGAGUAAUACUUAGGAAUCUACCUAGUAGUGGGGGAUAGCACGGGGAAACUCGUAUUAAUACCGCAUACGACCUACGGGAGAAAGGGGGCAGUUUACUGCUCUCGCUAUUAGAUGAGCCUAAGUCGGAUUAGCUAGAUGGUGGGGUAAAGGCCUACCAUGGCGACGAUCUGUAGCUGGUCUGAGAGGAUGAUCAGCCACACCGGGACUGAGACACGGCCCGGACUCCUACGGGAGGCAGCAGUGGGGAAUAUUGGACAAUGGGGGAAACCCUGAUCCAGCCAUGCCGCGUGUGUGAAGAAGGCCUUUUGGUUGUAAAGCACUUUAAGCAGUGAAGAAGACUCUUCGGUUAAUACCCGGAGACGAUGACAUUAGCUGCAGAAUAAGCACCGGCUAACUCUGUGCCAGCAGCCGCGGUAAUACAGAGGGUGCAAGCGUUAAUCGGAAUUACUGGGCGUAAAGCGAGCGUAGGUGGCUUGAUAAGUCAAAUGUGAAAUCCCCGGGCUUAACCUGGGAACUGCAUCUGAAACUG